RNAcentral lists this ribosomal RNA (490 nucleotides) under uncultured bacterium. Its description in RNAcentral is "partial 16S ribosomal RNA". It matches the Rfam family "Bacterial small subunit ribosomal RNA", at positions 27 to 507 of the family's 1533-position model. The record is from RNAcentral.
GGACGAACGCUGGCGGCGUGCUUAACACAUGCAAGUCGAACGGUGAAGGGAUCAGCUUGCUGGUUCUGGAUGAGUGGCGAACGGGUGAGUAACACGUGAGUAACCUGCCCCCUUCUUCUGGAUAACCGCAUGAAAGUGUGGCUAAUACGGGAUAUUCUGGGUCUGUCGCAUGAUGGGUCUGGGAAAGAUAUUGUUUCGGUGGGGGAUGGGCUCGCGGCCUAUCAGCUUGUUGGUGGGGUGAUGGCCUACCAAGGCGGUGACGGGUAGCCGGCCUGAGAGGGUGGACGGUCACACUGGGACUGAGACACGGCCCAGACUCCUACGGGAGGCAGCAGUGGGGAAUAUUGCACAAUGGGCGCAAGCCUGAUGCAGCGACGCCGCGUGAGGGAUGGAGGCCUUCGGGUUGUAAACCUCUUUCGCCAGUGAAGCAGGCCUGCUCCUUGUGGGUGGGUUGACGGUAGCUGGAUAAGAAGCGCCGGCUAACUACGUG